AACGAACGCUGGCGGCAUGCCUAACACAUGCAAGUCGAACGAGACCUUCGGGUCUAGUGGCGCACGGGUGCGUAACGCGUGGGAACCUGCCCUUAGGUUCGGAAUAACUCCCCGAAAGGGGUGCUAAUACCGGAUAAUGUCUUCGGAUCAAAGAUUUAUCGCCUUUGGAUGGGCCCGCGUUGGAUUAGCUAGUUGGUAGGGUAAAAGCCUACCAAGGCGACGAUCCAUAGCUGGUCUGAGAGGAUGAUCAGCCACACUGGGACUGAGACACGGCCCAGACUCCUACGGGAGGCAGCAGUGGGGAAUAUUGGACAAUGGGCGAAAGCCUGAUCCAGCAAUGCCGCGUGAGUGAUGAAGGCCUUAGGGUUGUAAAGCUCUUUUACCCGGGAUGAUAAUGACAGUACCGGGAGAAUAAGCGCCGGCUAACUCCGUG
Molecule: ribosomal RNA, 433 nt
Filed under: uncultured bacterium
Lineage: Bacteria
Description: partial 16S ribosomal RNA
Rfam family: Bacterial small subunit ribosomal RNA
Source: RNAcentral